UGUUCCCUAUUUUCCAAUUGCAAUCAGGUACUUAGGUACUUUUUGACCCCACAGAAAAAAACAAAAACAAAAACAGAAAAACCUAACAUUCAAAACUACCAAUAACAGGAAGGAGAGGAAAAAAAAAUUUGAGAAUGAAAUGUUUCCCACCAUAGUGGACUCUUAAGCACAUUCUCCAC
Molecule: long non-coding RNA, 179 nt
Organism: Octodon degus (degu)
Lineage: Eukaryota; Metazoa; Chordata; Mammalia; Rodentia; Octodontidae
Exons: 2
Source: RefSeq, a predicted model, not a curated record